RNAcentral lists this ribosomal RNA (1234 nucleotides) under Chaleponcus netus. Its description in RNAcentral is "16S ribosomal RNA". The stretch from base 545 to 1234 matches the Rfam family "Eukaryotic large subunit ribosomal RNA", at positions 1890 to 3104 of the family's 3401-position model. The record is from RNAcentral. Lineage: Eukaryota; Metazoa; Arthropoda; Diplopoda; Spirostreptida; Odontopygidae.
UUAAUAAAAAUUGGUUAAUUUAUAAUUAAAACAUUGUAUUUUUAGUAUUUUUUAGAAAAUAUUAUAAGUUUAGUACUGUAAAGGAUUUAAUAAAUUUUUUUAUAGAUGUAGUUAAAUUAUGUACCUUGUGUAUUAGGGAGUUUUAAUAUAAAAAAUAUGAUUAUUUUUCUCGAAUUAUUUGUGGGCUAAAAUUUUAUAUACAUUAAUGUAGCAUAAUUAAAGUAAAUUUAAUUUUAGUGAUGAUAUAUUAUUCAAACAAUAGGAUAUCUGGUUUCUUAAGAAAAAAAUUUAAUUUUAUUUUAAUAAAUUUUUUGUUAAAUAUAAACUCAAAUAGGGAUGAGCUUAUUUGAGUAUGUCAUAUACUGAACUAUUUUAUAAAGUUAUUUAGAUUUAGAAUUGAUCUUUUUUAUAAUAUGUUAUAAUAAAGCUAUUAAAAUUAAGAAUUUUAUUUUUAGAGUUAUUUUAUUUAUUAAGAUAUAGAUUUAAAUUAAACAGUAUUAAUAAUAAUGAGAUUAUUAGUAAUUUAUUAUUUAAAAAUUUGUUUAUUGUUUAUUUAACUUUAAGGAAUUAGGCAAAAUAAAUUUUCGCCUGUUUAGCAAAAACAUGGUUUCUUGAUUUUUGAUAAGAAAUCAGGCCUGCCCACUGAUAUUAAAGGGCUGCAGUAUUUUGACUGUACAAAGGUAGCAUAAUCAUUAGUCUUUUAAUUGGAGACUGGUAUGAAUGGUUAGACGGAAAUUAACUGUCUCAAAGUUAUAAAUUGAAUUUUACUUUUAGGGGAAAGGACCUAAAUAAAAUAAUGGGACGAGAAGACCCUGUUAAGCUUUAUUAAUUAUUAUUUAUAAUUUCAUUAAUAUAAGAAAUGUAUAUAUAAAUUAAGUUUACUGGGGCGGUAAAUAAUAAACAAUAUUUAUUUUUAAUAUAAUUGUUAGCAUAAUUAUGAUCCGAAUUGAUCGAUAAUAAGAGCAAGCUACUACAGGGAUAACAGCGUAAUAUUUUUUGAGAGUUCAUAUUGACAAAAGUGUUUGCGACCUCGAUGUUGGAAUAAGAAAUCUUAUUGGUGCAGUAGUUAUUAAAGAAGGUCUGUUCGACCUUUAAAUUCUUACAUGAUCUGAGUUCAGACCGGCGUGAGCCAGGUCGGUUUCUAUCUUUUAUAAUUAAUAAAUUGGGUUAGUACGAAAGGACCAUUCAAUAUAAAAUUUUUAGUUAUGAGAGUUAUUUAAAAUUUAAGUUAAGA